UCUGAGGAUGGAUUUGCCUGCUUGCAACCUCAGUCUAAAAAAAUGCUAAAAA
This 52-nucleotide non-coding RNA is filed under the name bovine gut metagenome. RNAcentral also lists the same sequence under 1 other name. The record is from RNAcentral.